GGGUUGUGAGGUUAAGCGACUAAGCGUACACGGUGGAUGCCCUGGCAGUCAGAGGCGAUGAAGGACGUGCUAAUCUGCGAAAAGCGUCGGUAAGGUGAUAUGAACCGUUACAGCCGGCGAUGUCCGAAUGGGGAAACCCAGUGCAAUUCGUUGCACUAUCGUUAACUGAAUACAUAGGUUAACGAGGCGAACCGGGGGAACUGAAACAUCUAAGUACCCCGAGGAAAAGAAAUCAACCGAGAUUCCCCCAGUAGCGGCGAGCGAACGGGGAGCAGCCCAGAGUCUGAAUCAGCUUGUGUGUUAGUGGAACGGUCUGGAAAGUCCGACGGUACAGGGUGAUAGUCCCGUACACCAAAAUGCACAGGUUGUGAACUCGAAGAGUAGGGCGGGACACGUGGUAUCCUGUCUGAAUAUGGGGGGACCAUCCUCCAAGGCUAAAUACUCCUGACUGACCGAUAGUGAACCAGUACCGUGAGGGAAAGGCGAAAAGAACCCCGGCGAGGGGAGUGAAAAAGAACCUGAAACCGUGUACGUACAAGCAGUGGGAGCACCUUCGGGUGUGACUGCGUACCUUUUGUAUAAUGGGUCAGCGACUUAUAUUCUGUAGCAAGGUUAACCGUAUAGGGGAGCCGCAGGGAAACCGAGUCUUAACUGGGCGUUAAGUUGCAGGGUAUAGACCCGAAACCCGGUGAUCUAGCCAUGGGCAGGUUGAAGGUUGGGUAACACUAACUGGAGGACCGAACCGACUAAUGUUGAAAAAUUAGCGGAUGACUUGUGGCUGGGGUGAAAGGCCAAUCAAACCGGGAGAUAGCUGGUUCUCCCCGAAAGCUAUUUAGGUAGCGCCUCGUGAACUCAUCUUCGGGGUAGAGCACUGUUUCGGCUAGGGGGUCAUCCCGACUUACCAACCCGAUGCAAACUACGAAUACCGAAGAAUGUUAUCACGGGAGACACACGGCGGGUGCUAACGUCCGUCGUGAAGAGGGAAACAACCCAGACCGCCAGCUAAGGUCCCAAAGUCAUGGUUAAGUGGGAAACGAUGUGGGAAGGCACAGACAGCCUGGAUGUUGGCUUAGAAGCAGCCAUCAUUUAAAGAAAGCGUAAUAGCUCACUGGUCGAGUCGGCCUGCGCGGAAGAUGUAACGGGGCUAAACCAUGCACCGAAGCUGCGGCAGCGACACUAUGUGUUGUUGGGUAGGGGAGCGUUCUGUAAGCCUGCGAAGGUGUGCUGUGAGGCAUGCUGGAGGUAUCAGAAGUGCGAAUGCUGACAUAAGUAACGAUAAAGCGGGUGAAAAGCCCGCUCGCCGGAAGACCAAGGGUUCCUGUCCAACGUUAAUCGGGGCAGGGUGAGUCGACCCUAAGGCGAGGCCGAAAGGCGUAGUCGAUGGGAAACAGGUUAAUAUUCCUGUACUUGGUGUUACUGCGAAGGGGGGACGGAGAAGGCUAUGUUAGCCGGGCGACGGUUGUCCCGGUUUAAGCAUGUAGGCUGGUUAUCCAGGCAAAUCCGGAUAAUCAAGGCUGAGGUGUGAUGACGAGGCACUACGGUGCUGAAGUAACAAAUGCCCUGCUUCCAGGAAAAGCCUCUAAGCAUCAGGUAACAUCAAAUCGUACCCCAAACCGACACAGGUGGUCAGGUAGAGAAUACCAAGGCGCUUGAGAGAACUCGGGUGAAGGAACUAGGCAAAAUGGUGCCGUAACUUCGGGAGAAGGCACGCUGGUGUGUAGGUGAAGUCCCUGCGGAUGGAGCUGAGACCAGUCGAAGAUACCAGCUGGCUGCAACUGUUUAUUAAAAACACAGCACUGUGCAAACACGAAAGUGGACGUAUACGGUGUGACGCCUGCCCGGUGCCGGAAGGUUAAUUGAUGGGGUUAUCCGUAAGGAGAAGCUCUUGAUCGAAGCCCCGGUAAACGGCGGCCGUAACUAUAACGGUCCUAAGGUAGCGAAAUUCCUUGUCGGGUAAGUUCCGACCUGCACGAAUGGCGUAAUGAUGGCCAGGCUGUCUCCACCCGAGACUCAGUGAAAUUGAACUCGCUGUGAAGAUGCAGUGUACCCGCGGCAAGACGGAAAGACCCCGUGAACCUUUACUAUAGCUUGACACUGAACAUUGAGCCUUGAUGUGUAGGAUAGGUGGGAGGCUUUGAAGCGUGGACGCCAGUCUGCGUGGAGCCAACCUUGAAAUACCACCCUUUAAUGUUUGAUGUUCUAACGUUGGCCCCUGACCGGGGUUGCGGACAGUGUCUGGUGGGUAGUUUGACUGGGGCGGUCUCCUCCCAAAGCGUAACGGAGGAGCACGAAGGUUAGCUAAUCCUGGUCGGACAUCAGGAGGUUAGUGCAAUGGCAUAAGCUAGCUUGACUGCGAGCGUGACGGCGCGAGCAGGUGCGAAAGCAGGUCAUAGUGAUCCGGUGGUUCUGAAUGGAAGGGCCAUCGCUCAACGGAUAAAAGGUACUCCGGGGAUAACAGGCUGAUACCGCCCAAGAGUUCAUAUCGACGGCGGUGUUUGGCACCUCGAUGUCGGCUCAUCACAUCCUGGGGCUGAAGUAGGUCCCAAGGGUAUGGCUGUUCGCCAUUUAAAGUGGUACGCGAGCUGGGUUUAGAACGUCGUGAGACAGUUCGGUCCCUAUCUGCCGUGGGCGCUGGAGAAUUGAGGGGGGCUGCUCCUAGUACGAGAGGACCGGAGUGGACGCAUCACUGGUGUUCGGGUUGUCAUGCCAAUGGCACUGCCCGGUAGCUAAAUGCGGAAGAGAUAAGUGCUGAAAGCAUCUAAGCACGAAACUUGCCCCGAGAUGAGUUCUCCCUGAGACUAUAAGUCUCCUGAAGGAACGUUAAAGACGAUGACGUUGAUAGGCCGGGUGUGUAAGCGCAGCGAUGCGUUGAGCUAACCGGUACUAAUGAACCGUGAGGCUUAACCUUACAACGCCGAAG
Molecule: ribosomal RNA, 2920 nt
Filed under: Klebsiella pneumoniae
Lineage: Bacteria; Pseudomonadati; Pseudomonadota; Gammaproteobacteria; Enterobacterales; Enterobacteriaceae
Description: 23S ribosomal RNA
Rfam family: Bacterial large subunit ribosomal RNA
Source: RNAcentral